RNAcentral lists this unclassified non-coding RNA (647 nucleotides) under Hevea brasiliensis (rubber tree). Lineage: Eukaryota; Viridiplantae; Streptophyta; Magnoliopsida; Malpighiales; Euphorbiaceae. The record is from RNAcentral.
GUAAAGGUCCCCAGAGAAGCUAAAUUAAAGCAGAAAUUUCACCAGUACUCUCCAUUCUCCACAGUAUAAAUCUCACCGCCCAUUUCUUUCUCCAGCAGUAACUUCACAAAUACAAGUUUGGGGGUGGUUGGUCCUGCUCAAAUUACCCACCGCAAUAACAGGUACACCCUUCGCCCAAAUUUGUCACCUUUUAUCCAUUCUCUCUCCCUCCUCCCCUUCAAUUCUCUCGGCUUCCAUUUUUUUUUCUCUUAGUUUGUUUUUUUGGUAUCUUCAUUGUGAAUGUUUGCCUUCUUUUUGUUUUGUUAUUUUUUUCUCACUGAAUUUCUUAGCUAUAAUUGAUUUUCUCUUCAAAUUAAACAUUUUGCUAUGUUUCUGUUAUUCCUUCAUCAUUUUCUCAAGUGGGUAUAUGCUUAAAUUUGAGUGUCCCUGUAUUUCGUUUCCAUAAAUUCUCUUCUGCCUCCUCUAUUAAUAAAGCUAAUGUCAAAAGGGUUCCGAUUUAUUGAGAAAAUGGUCAGUUUUUGCAAGUGGGUGUUAUUUGAUUUUGUUUGUUUGUAGCCGCUUUGUUCUGUGUCUAAAUAGUGUUCUGUUCGUUUUAGAAAACAAAGGAAUUUUAUUCGAGAAUGUCCCUGGCUUUAAAAAUUAGCAGU